Molecule: ribosomal RNA, 649 nt
Filed under: Streptomyces sp. MV25
Lineage: Bacteria; Bacillati; Actinomycetota; Actinomycetes; Kitasatosporales; Streptomycetaceae
Description: bacterial SSU rRNA
Rfam family: Bacterial small subunit ribosomal RNA
Source: RNAcentral
GGGGCGGAAGCCUGAUGCAGCGACGCCGCGUGAGGGAUGACGGCCUUCGGGUUGUAAACCUCUUUCAGCAGGGAAGAAGCGUGAGUGACGGUACCUGCAGAAGAAGCGCCGGCUAACUACGUGCCAGCAGCCGCGGUAAUACGUAGGGCGCAAGCGUUGUCCGGAAUUAUUGGGCGUAAAGAGCUCGUAGGCGGUUUGUCACGUCGGGUGUGAAAGCCCGGGGCUUAACCCCGGGUCUGCAUUCGAUACGGGCAGACUGGAGUGUGGUAGGGGAGAUCGGAAUUCCUGGUGUAGCGGUGAAAUGCGCAGAUAUCAGGAGGAACACCGGUGGCGAAGGCGGAUCUCUGGGCCAUUACUGACGCUGAGGAGCGAAAGCGUGGGGAGCGAACAGGAUUAGAUACCCUGGUAGUCCACGCCGUAAACGUUGGGAACUAGGUGUUGGCGACAUUCCACGUCGUCGGUGCCGCAGCUAACGCAUUAAGUUCCCCGCCUGGGGAGUACGGCCGCAAGGCUAAAACUCAAAGGAAUUGACGGGGGCCCGCACAAGCAGCGGAGCAUGUGGCUUAAUUCGACGCAACGCGAAGAACCUUACCAAGGCUUGACAUACACCGGAAAACCCUGGAGACAGGGUCCCCCUUUGUGGUCGGUG